AUGUCGACAAUAGAUCCAUCUGUCCAAGGAUCCUUUUGGCAUGUACUCAUACACCAAGAGCCUAUGUGAUUUCUCUGCACAAAAGCCAAUCAAUCUCACAAGAUUAAUAUGAUGAAUGCUGCCAAUUGUCUCAACCUCUGCAGAAAAUUCCCUUGUGCCCUGACCCGCUCGAUCCAAACGUUUUACUGCAAUCCUUUCAUCACCAAAUUGACCCUUGAAAACAGACCCAAAUCCUCCUUCCCCGAGCUUGUCUGCGAAUUGCUCGGUUGCUGCAUUUAG
Molecule: ribosomal RNA, 279 nt
Filed under: Triticum aestivum (bread wheat)
Lineage: Eukaryota; Viridiplantae; Streptophyta; Magnoliopsida; Poales; Poaceae
Description: partial small subunit ribosomal RNA
Source: RNAcentral